This 420-nucleotide ribosomal RNA is filed under the name bacterium. RNAcentral's name for it is "partial 16S ribosomal RNA". It matches the Rfam family "Bacterial small subunit ribosomal RNA", at positions 355 to 776 of the family's 1533-position model. The record is from RNAcentral.
UGGGGGAUAUUGCACAAUGGGCGAAAGCCUGAUGCAGCGACGCCGCGUGGGGGAUGAAGGCUUUCGGGUUGUAAACCUCUUUCGCUAUCGAACAAGGCCCGCCUAGGGUGGGUUGAGGGUAGGUGGAGAAGAAGCGCCGGCUAACUACGUGCCAGCAGCCGCGGUAAUACGUAGGGCGCGAGCGUUGUCCGGAAUUAUUGGGCGUAAAGGGCUUGUAGGCGGCUUGUUGCGCCUGCUGUGAAAACGCGGGGCUUAACUUCGCGCGUGCAGUGGGUACGGGCAGGCUUGAGUGGGGUAGGGGUGGCUGGAAUUCCAGGUGUAGCGGUGGAAUGCGCAGAUAUCUGGAGGAACACCGAUGGCGAAGGCAGGUCACUGGGCCAUUACUGACGCUGAGGAGCGAAAGCAUGGGUAGCGAACAGG